Molecule: long non-coding RNA, 2522 nt
Organism: Lonchura striata (white-rumped munia)
Lineage: Eukaryota; Metazoa; Chordata; Aves; Passeriformes; Estrildidae
Source: Ensembl
GACACUGUUAAAUACAGACUCCGGGGCAGGAGCUGUAAAUGUUGUCAAAAUCCACUUUUUCACGGGAAUGACACAUUCCCAUCUCCUGCAAGGAUGGCAUUCCCAGUGGGAGUGUGAUCACAGCUCCCAGGCUGCUGGGAAAAGCUCCAGUGCUGCUGUCACUGUGGGGAGGGGAAGGAGACCCACGGUGACAACAACAACCUCCAACUUUUUCUUCUGCUCUUCCCUCUCCUCCUUUUCCUCGACCUCUGUCUCCUCUUUCUCCUUCUCCCUCUCCUUCUCUUUCCUUCUCCUUCUCCACCUUUUCCUCCUCCCUCUCCUUUUCCUCCUCUUCCUCCGUCUCCUUCUCCUCCUUCUCCUUUUCCUCCUCCUUUGUCUUCUUCUUCCUCUCCUUCCUUCUCCUUCUCCUCCUCUUCCUCCCUGACCUUCUCCUUCCUCCUCCUUGCUUCUCCUUCUCCUCCUCCUCCCUCUCCUUCUCUUUCCUUCUCCUUCUUCACCUUUUCCUCCUCCCUCUCCUCCUCCUCUUCCUCCGUCUCCUUCUCGUCCUCCUUUUCCUCCUCUUGUUUUCUCCUUCUCCCACUCCUUUCCUUCUUCUCUUCUCCUUCUCCUUUUCCUCCUCUCCUGUCUCCUCCUUCUCCCACUCCUUCCUUUUCUUCCCUUCUCCUUCUUCUCCUCUUCCUCCCUCUCCUUCUCCUCCUCCCUCUCCUUUUCCUCCUCCUUUGUCUUCUCCUUUAUCCUCUCCUUCCUUCUCCUUCUUCCUCUCCUUCUUCUCCUUCUCCUCUUCCUCCCUCGCCUUCUCCUUCCUUCUCCUUGCUUCUCCUUCUCCUCUUCUCCUUCUCUUUCCCUGUCCUUCUCCACCUUUUCCUCCUCCCUCUCCUUCUCCUCCUCUUCCUCCAUCUCCAUCUCCUUCUCCUUUUCCUCCUCCUGUCUUCUCCUUCUCCCACUCCUUCCUUCUUCUCCUCUUCUCCUUCUCCGUCUCCUUCUCCUCCUCUCCUCUGUCUCCUCCUUCUCCCACUCCUUCCUUUUCUCCCCUUCUCCUUCUCCUCUUCCUCCCUCUCCUUUUACUCCUCCUUUGUCUUCUCCUUCUUCCUCUCCUUCCUUCUCCUUCUUCUCCCCUCUCCUUCUCCUCCUCUUCCUCCCUCACCUUCUCCUUCCUUCUCCUCUUCUCCUUCAUUUUCCUUCUCCUUCUCCCUCUCCUUCUCUUUCCUUCUCCACCUUUUGCUCCUCCCUCUCCUCCUUCUCUUCCUCUAGAACAGAUAUUUAUUUCACAGUUUUUAGCUCCAAACUGUUUUGUUUGUGAGGAUCCUCAGGGUCUGGAGAUCAUUUCAGCCCAUUUCCAACAGCAGAAAAGUCAAUCUGCAGCGCUCAGCUCCCUUCCCAUGCAUUAAUUGGGAAGACAUGGCCAGAUUAUGACAUAAUCCAGAUUUUAUUCAGGAAAAGCUGUAAAUUUACCUGGAAGUCUGGGUGAAAAACCAGGAGUUUCUCUCCGUGUGCCCUGGGGCUCCACACAAACCCAUCCUGUCCUGUGAGCGAGGCAAGGUGAGCUCUAGCUGAACCUCAGGAACAACUUCCCAUAUUUUGGUGUCUGCCAUGGAAUUCUUCCAACGCGCCACCCGCACAGCUGGACACAAAUAAUGAAGAAGUGAGGUGGCUUCGGGGGAAAACUUCACUCUUUGCAAAGAGAUUUGCCUUUUCUUUCAUGAUUAUGAUUCUACAGCGAGCCUGUAGCUCUGAGCAAACUGGAUUUAUUGGGAUUUUAUUUUUAAUUUUUCAAAGAAAUCGUCCAUCCCAAUAUCAAUUUAUUUUACCCAGUCAAGGAAUUACAAAUGGGCCUCUCUAUUCAUCAGACAACAAUGCAGAGCAGAAAAUUUAAGACUGAGAAUGCCUCAAUUUACUGCAGCGGUUUAAAUGAAAAUUAAUUUACGCUUCUAAAUAGAGGAAUUAGGAUAAUUAGUGGGCGACUUCAAUUUUUAACCAUUUUUAAACUAGAAAACAUGUGCGAACACAGCAGCUGUAAAUUAAAAUUUCAGAUUCAUCAGGCAACACUCUCCCUUCCAUUCAGUGCUGAGUUAAUGAGGUCACAGAUGAACGCUACAGGGGAGGACAGGGGCAAAGAAGUAAUUAAAAAUAAUUGCAAUUGUAUCCCACUUUUCCACUGGCCAAACACAGCUGUUAGCCACCUCUGAGCAACCAAUCCCGAAAUCCUCACCAAAACCAUCAAACUGAGCACAAACCCAAGCCCCUGAGUUGAUUUUUCAGUUAAUAAUUCACCAGAUAAACACUUUUGACAGGAACUCCCACAGUGCCCCCACUUAGUUGUUUCUGGGUUUUUUAGUGCUCUCAAAAUAGAUUCAUUGAAUAUUUUGCCCUCAAAAGUCCAGGAUUUUUCUCCCUGUUGAGGCCGGGGGUUUGUUCCCAGCUCUCUCUUGUACCACAGAGUUUUGGGGGAAAAUCUCUGGAACAUUCACAAGCAGGAUGAAGCCAAACAAUAAUGGGAUUAAUAAAAACAGAGGGUGAAACCA